This 105-nucleotide Y RNA is filed under the name Saimiri boliviensis boliviensis (Bolivian squirrel monkey). Its description in RNAcentral is "Y RNA (ENSSBOG00000007566.1)". It matches the Rfam family "Y RNA". Rfam says of the family: Y RNAs are components of the Ro ribonucleoprotein particle (Ro RNP), in association with Ro60 and La proteins. The Y RNAs and Ro60 and La proteins are well conserved, but the function of the Ro RNP is not known. Lineage: Eukaryota; Metazoa; Chordata; Mammalia; Primates; Cebidae. The record is from Rfam by way of RNAcentral.
GGCUGGUCUGAAGGUAGUGAGUUAUCUCAAUUGAUUGCUCACUGUGAGUGUUUAAUUCCUUGUUCUACUCUUUCUCCUCUUCUCACUACUGUACUUCACUAAAAA